Molecule: ribosomal RNA, 462 nt
Filed under: uncultured bacterium
Lineage: Bacteria
Description: partial 16S ribosomal RNA
Rfam family: Bacterial small subunit ribosomal RNA
Source: RNAcentral
ACGCACGCUGGCGGCGUGCUUCACACAUGCAAGUCGAACGGAAAGGCCUUUUCGGAGGUACUCGAGUGGCGAACGGGUGAGUAACACGUGGGUGAUCUGCCCUGCACUCUGGGAUAAGCCUGGGAAACUGGGUCUAAUACCGGAUAGGACCGCACUUUAGUGUGUGUGGUGGAAAGUUUUUUCGGUGUAGGAUGAGCCCGCGGCCUAUCAGCUUGUUGGUGGGGUAAUGGCCUACCAAGGCGGCGACGGGUAGCCGGACUGAGAGGUUGGUCGGCCACAUUGGGACUGAGAUACGGCCCAGACUCCUACGGGAGGCAGCAGUGGGGAAUAUUGCACAAUGGGCGCAAGCCUGAUGCAGCGACGCCGCGUGGGGGAUGACGGCCUUCGGGUUGUAAACGCCUUUCGCCAGGGACGAAGCGUUUUGUGACGGUACCUGGAGAAGAAGCACCGGCUAACUACGUG